UUUAAUUAGGCCUGGUUCUUAAACAACUUGCCACAACUUAGUCAAUUUCUUCUUGGCUUGUUACUGGGUUUAGCAAUGUCAGAUGUUGGUUCCUAAUUAUUUGAUAUUCAGCCUCCAAGCAAGUGUUCCCUCGUUCUAUCUGUUCUUUCUUUCAUUCUUUCUUUUUUGUAUUUGUUUCUUUUAAGUCUUUUGCGCAUGGUAAAGCUGUUUAUUUC
Molecule: long non-coding RNA, 215 nt
Filed under: Phoenix dactylifera (date palm)
Lineage: Eukaryota; Viridiplantae; Streptophyta; Magnoliopsida; Arecales; Arecaceae
Description: long non-coding RNA (PDAC_LNC014928)
Source: RNAcentral